Long non-coding RNA from Biomphalaria glabrata, 929 nucleotides. RefSeq lists it as uncharacterized. The record is from RefSeq and is a predicted model, not a curated record. The transcript is spliced from 4 exons. NCBI's taxonomy places the organism in Eukaryota, Metazoa, Mollusca, Gastropoda, Planorbidae.
UAGGGUAAACUAAUCUCAUGCUUGGAAGAUACUACAGAUCUGUAUACAUCCAUAUAGCGCUCACCUAUUUCAUAGCUUCAAUAAGUCAAAAUUAAGUAACUGUCGGUGCGUAGAUUAUGGCAUUCUAGCACCAAUGUUUAUUAAGUGCACAAUUUUUGAACGCACUUUCUUGGUUGCAUUGUUUGUAAGUUUAUGGAGUGGUUUUGUUAUUAUGCUUGUGUAACGUCGUGUGUUUGAGAUUCUUCUGUGUUUCCCUGUUUAGGGGAGUUAGUUAUGGGAUUGGAGUUCUACACUAAAUACUAGAUUCAGCAGUGUUUUGUUGUGAUUGCGAGCAUUUAUGUGUCACGUUGUCGGACAGCAAGGUCCAGUGGAGGGAGCAUGAAGAAAAGGUCAUCCAAAGAAAAUCUAGUUGGACAAUGGAAAAGAAUGGACCGGACCCUCUCUUGAUAUUCUACUAAGAGCAGCCGAUUACCGAGAAAAUAGAGAAAUUCCGUUACGCCGUCACAGCGCCCCUACCACAUUUCAAUAAGCUUGCCAACCUGCCUACGUGUACAGUACUUGACGGCACAGAGGUGCACAGCUUGGUGCAUGUAGUGAAUAGCUGGACUAAACGUCUAUGUGUGUCUUUAAUAAUGGUGAACAGAAAACUUAACACAUUAUGAGGAUAGCUAUGAACCAAUCCUAAGGCACGCACUUAGCGGGCCAAAUUGAAUGGUAAUACUAGUGCCUAUUCUGACGACCGGUCCGCCCCUGUUAUGCGGAUUUUAUGGUUGAAUAAACUUCUGUACUUAAAUUAGUUUGAUUGGUUAACUAAAAUUAUUGGAAUUCUAGACAGUAAUUUUAAUUAAAAUAUAUGAAAGUGUCGUGUAUUGACAAGUCACAUUACUUUGUACAUUAUCACAUUUAGAUUUGACUACAUUCAUUCUUAU